Molecule: ribosomal RNA, 207 nt
Filed under: uncultured bacterium
Lineage: Bacteria
Description: partial 16S ribosomal RNA
Rfam family: Bacterial small subunit ribosomal RNA
Source: RNAcentral
CGCGUAGGUGGUCUUGUAUGUCUACCGUGAAAGCACACGGCUCAACCGUGUUCCGUCGGUAGAAACUGCAGGACUUGAGGCUGGGAGGGGCUGGUGGAAUUCCCCGUGUAGCGGUGAAAUGCGUAGAGAUGGGGGAGAACACUCGUGGCGAAGGCGGCCAGCUAGACCAGUUCUGACACUGAGGCGCGAUAGCGUGGGGAGCAAACA